GUAGGCCUCGGUAUCGAUGUCGAUCUUGUUGAUGGUCUCGCCCUCGUCGUCCACGGCGAAGACGAAGUCCACCUCUUCGGCGUUGUAGCUCGUCCCACCGGAAGACGAGAGAGCAGUUCUGCCAGUCGAAGGGGAAGUAGGUGACCUCCACGGCGCAGGUGCUGCGGUAGAUGGCCGGGGGCAGCCAGCUCACGGAGCCGCCCUCGUAGACCAGCACGUUGGCGUCGUAGGCCACUCCGAACUGGCCGUCAAUGCUGUGGGCCGCGACAGAGCGGCGUCCGCCCGGGCCCGCGACCCCCUCGCCCUCCCAGCAAGACCAGCUGCCGCCCGCCAGCACGAUCUCUGGGAGCCAGACGAGUUCCGAAGGGACCCGCAGGAUCUCCACACCGCCGAAGUCGUCCUUGCUGUAGUUGAGCCGGUAAUCCUGCCAGUCCUAAGGAGUGGGGGUGGUGCGCUCCGGCGCCCUGCACCUCCCACCUGGUGACGGCCAGGAGACUGGGAGAAAGGGCCCAAGACCUCCCGCUGUUUCCCAGAUUGGACUCACGAUUCCAAUCCAGACGCUGGUGGUGAGGGUCUCCUCUUUCUCGUUCUGCGGACAAGGGUCAGGAUGGUGGAAGUGGGAUUCCAGAGCCAGGGGUUCAAUGUCAGGCUCGGGGCUGCGGGCGGGGUACCGUACCAGGGAGAUGAGGUUGGUCAGGGUGACCUUGAGGGUGACGGUAACAGUCUCUUCAGACUCCUUCACUGGCCGCCGCUCUGGGUCAUAGUUGUCGAAGAGAUGGUGGUAAAGACGCAGCUCCUCGUUCUUCGCCUCACCUCCACCUGGGGAUGGGGUCAAGUGGUGGGCUCACAGCAGAGGAAGGGCUGGGAGGGGGGCCCUCUCUGCUGCCUCCAGGUCUGCACAGGGCUCUGCUGCAUGUGUCUCUGAGGCUCUGUGCCCUUCCCUGUCUCCUGAGCCAGGUACCAAGCCUGCUUCUCGGUUUCCCGUCUUUGCCCCGUCCCUGGGCGUCCCUCUCCCUGUGCGUGUGGCCGACCCUUGUCCCUACCGAGGAGCUGCAAGAGGAGCAGGGUGCCCAGCAGGGCCCCUGCCAUCGCGCUGUCUGGUCCUCGGGGUUAUUCUGAGCCCUGGCAGGCUUUAGGGGGGCAGGCCAGGGUGUGGGAGGGAGGGAGGCGGGUGUUAGUUCCGGGCUGGGUUAGGGGACUGUCACCUAAUCCUCUUCCCACCGCUACUGCAGCCAGAGACAUUUUGGCUGCUCCCAGAGGCAGCUGCCCCAUCCCAGCGUCCUUUGCCCGCUGUUUGGCCGGCGCUGCGGCCACAGACCCGACCUUCUUACGGCCGGAGCAACCGGGUGCAGGUGCAGGUCCUUGAAGAGCACCUGGAACCACAAGCCUGGCAGUGGGGGCAGGGGGUGGCCCUGCUCUGAACAUGCGCUGGUGUCCCUUGAGUAAGCCGCCCUGUGCAGGUGACACCCCUUGCCUCCUGUCACUCAUGUGGAACACGUUACCACCACCCCCGGCCCAGCCAAGGCCACAGCAAUGCGGUUUCCGCCCGCGGAGUCUGGCGAAGUCUCCACAAAGCUGGUAAUAAGACAGGCGGCCGCAGGGGAUCACUCGGCAGGAACAGACCACCUGGCAACGAGACCCUGCGGCAAUAGGGCGGCCUCCCCCCCCACAGCCUAAAUCCCAGGUGGGCCCACCCGCGGCCCCUCCCGGGACCUGCCACAGACGCCCGUUUCUCCUGGCCUCUCUGCUGCCACCUUGUGGCCACAUCUGGUGAUAACGCCUUCCCGCCCCAAGCACACUUGAACUGAUUCUUUGCGAUUUUAUCUUAAAGUGUCCUUGGACCACCCUAGUCGAUCAUCUGAGGUGCUUGCUUACAAUUCCUAUUCCUAGGUUCCGUCCCCAAAGAGCCCUGAGUUAGGAGGAUGCCAGAGUUGGGGUGCCAGGGAUCUGGUUUUUCUCUUUAAGAAGCUGUCCGUGUUUGCGCAUGCACUUUUUGUGCCUUGCCCAUUGCGUCCUCAUGCUAAUCCGGGGAGGUGGUUUCCGUUGUCCCGAAAGUACGAAGGGGGACUCUGGUCAGGUCCACGGUCACAAGAGCCGGUGGGCAGUGACGCUGGAGCUCCGGCAGUCAGCUUUACUGAUCAUGUGCCGCUGCGUUCCUUUCACACUUGACAAAACGCUUUCAUGUCCGUUCUUUUGGGGUGUUCUUCCUCUACCUGUGAGGUCCCUCCUCCUCGCGCCCGUGUUACAAGCGAGGACCCCAAAAGCCAGAGGGUCCAUGCAGCUUGUCCCAUUUCCCAGGCGUCCUUGAAGCCGCCCCUUCCACGGCGAACAGGCUCAUCCUUCCGCCCUCUCCCCUCCAGCUCUGCAGAGCGGAUGUGCUGGGCCCAGCUCAGCUCCGUGCACGCGGCCGGUGGAUGCACUGGUUCUGAUCUGUGCAGUGGUCUAUUCCGUGGUCCCUGGGCCAAGAGCUCUGACAAAUGCAGGGAUUUAUGGGACGUGAAAGGGCCCUGCAAGGUCCCUGCCCUGGCCCAGCCACUCGGAUUCUAGAGCUGGAUAAACCGCAGCGGCCAGCAGGAGGGGGCCUUCGGUGACAGCAGCGUGGUCCGAGGGUAGCUGGGGCACCGCGUCAUUUGGCUUCCCUGUGUUACAAGAAGCAGCUCCACAGGGCAGGUGUCCUGUGGGCUUCCGCGAGGACUGGGACAGACGGGGCCGUGUCGGAGGCCAAGGCAGCUCCAGGGACCCGCCACUCCCGCCUUUCCCACCUCAGCUCUGCUCUGUGCUCCUCUGGAUCCUGACCAGCCUACCUUUUCUCACGGCCUUACUGGACCCAAAGAUCGCACCCUAACAGGCAACUACUUCCUUCACCCUCUUGGAACAGCGGCCGCCCUCCGUGGCCUGGCUGGAUUCUUAGCCAUCGGUCCGCUCACGGUGGAGAUCCCCAAGCUGGUCUGAUGAGGCCCCCUCUGCACACAACAGAAAGAGGCCCCCUUCCUUCUGUCAACAGGGAGAGUGGGUUCAGCUGAGCCAGGCAGUGCCUGGCCGACCUCGGUUCCUACACUGUCCCCCCUCACUAGCACCCACGUUCUCUGAUCGCUGAGACCUUGCUGGUUUACUGUGUUCAGAGCACAAGUGCCAGAGCCUCACACAUCAGAAGCACUCGACAAACACUGAACAGAUAAGUCAGUGCAAAUGAAGGAACAUCUUCCCAGCGCCGUCCCUUCUCCAACCAGGGGACCCCAGAGGAUCUACCAGGUACUUAGAGACGCCCACCCUCUGGCCAGGGUUGAUGGGUCCAGGGGAGGACACCAACCCAAGCCCAGCCUGAGGAAAUCCUUCCCUGACAGUGUUGUCCGGCAAUGACUCAGGAAGCAGGGUGUGCUCUGCUGGGGGCACUGACGCUUACACGCAGGACGCUUACACGCGGGGGCAUGGGGCAGCUGGUCGCCACGCGGGGAGACAGACAACGCACCGGGGACGCACAGACCAGAGAAGGCCUUGGGCCUCCCCACCCCUGACCAGGCUACGCUCACUGACACCUGCAGGCUGGUGGUUCAGCACUUCCUUUGAACGAGUCACCUCUGCAUCUUUCCAACAAAGUCUCCUUUGACUUAAAAGUAGUAGCAUUAAAAAAAGCAAACUAGCAUAAAGAAAACAAAAGUGCCCCAUAACACAAUACCCAGAAAGAUUCUCCUGACAAUAAAAAAGCAAUGCAUGCUGUCCUUUAUAUGUAGGGAUGGCAAACGUUAUUACAUGGAUUCUCCCUCUCCCCCCACCGUGGGCCUGCAGACCCCUCCCCAGUCUGCCCGGCCCGCAGCGCCCUCCCUCCGCCCAUCAGUGCCGGCCAGACCGGCCUAGGCAGCUCCCCCUGCCAUCCCCAGAACUUAGUGGGCAGCUUGGCAGAUGGCAGGUCUUUGAUAAAAGCGUAGGUAAUUCAUGAAUUCAUAAGUCCACUCUUGCGCAGGUCUGAGCCAUUUGCUCCCAGAAUACAGCAUUUUCCUGCCUUUCAGGACCAAGGAGGGACAUUACUGGGAGAGGUUCACAGGUUGGUGGCAUUGAGAGCAAAGUACUAAGGGAGACAGGGGAAGGCCGGAAACUAAAAAGACAUAAAGCAGGGGCCUGCGGAGUGCAAAGGAAAGUCUGAAAUAGAAGAGCGAAUGAAUGGCCUCAAGGUCAAGUUAAGCCAACCUAAAACCUGAGGGUAGUUACUGCCCCACCUAAUAGGGCCUUCUGUUAAAAUUAUAAAGUGUAUACUAUGUACAAGUAUGUAUAGAAAACAUUUGUACCAGUUAAAAGAGCAAUAAUAAACACAUGCCCACCAUCCACGCCAAGAAAUAGCCUCUUACCGUCCCCGGAAACCUCUCGCUCCCCCCCCCCCCCACAGACUACCCCUCACCCUUCUCAGCGGUAACCGUUACCCCAAACCUGCAAUUCUUCUGUUUUCCUUCCAGUCAUGACAACCUACCUGUCCCAAUGUUUCAGCAUUUGUAAUGGAAUAAUAAUGUGUCUCUUCAAAAAAAUAAACACACGCCAUCACUAAAACACAGAAAAGUCCAGAAUAGACAUGAUGAAACUCAAACCUUUCUUGUUGAAUCGCUAGGUGUUACACCUGACACCAAUGUAACAUCGUGAGCCGACUAUACGAAAAAAUGCAAAAUCACAUCAUGCCUCUUCCCACCCA
This is a non-coding RNA of Callorhinus ursinus (northern fur seal), 4678 nucleotides long. Lineage: Eukaryota; Metazoa; Chordata; Mammalia; Carnivora; Otariidae. The record is from RefSeq and is a predicted model, not a curated record.